Molecule: non-coding RNA, 66 nt
Organism: Nomascus siki (southern white-cheeked gibbon)
Lineage: Eukaryota; Metazoa; Chordata; Mammalia; Primates; Hylobatidae
Source: Rfam
GCCCUUGUAGUAUAAGCUAAUACACCGGUCUUGUAAGCCGAAAAUGAAGCCCUCCUUCCAAGGACA